Molecule: long non-coding RNA, 2907 nt
Filed under: Sus scrofa (pig)
Lineage: Eukaryota; Metazoa; Chordata; Mammalia; Artiodactyla; Suidae
Description: lncRNA (ENSSSCG00040019058.1)
Source: RNAcentral
UUUCUUUUUUUUUUUUUUAACGGCAUUGGUAAUUAAAAUCCUUGUACAGACUGAAAAAAAAAAUGAAUGGGGAGUAUACAACUGAUGGUAAAAAUGUCCCAGUGGAUUAAAAAAGGACAUGAAUAAACAAUUCACAAAAGAGUAAAUAUUUGUAAACAAAUAAUACCAGUAAACAAAAUAAAAAUUCAAAAUAAACACAUUUUUUAAAAAUGCGCUUCCUGGUGUUAAAAAAGUAAACUAAAAUUACCCCAAUGGGAGUUCCCAUUGUGGCUCAUUGGGUUAAGAACCCAACUUAGUGUCCAUGAGGAUGCAGGUUCGAUCCUUGGCCUCACUCAGUGGGUUAAGGAUCCGGCGUUACUGUAGCUGUGGUGUAGGCCAGUACCUGCAGCUCCAAUUUGACCCCUAGCCAGGGAACUUCCAUCUACCUCAGGUGCAGCCCUAAAAAGAAAAAAAAAAAUUACCCUAGUAUUAUAUUUGUCUAUUCAUUAUAUGGAUAUUGGAUAUCCCAAUCCUAAAAAUGUUGCAAAUUGCCUACAAAUUUGAACACAUCAUUUUCUUACCCCAAACUUUGGCAUCCUCUUGGCUUUCCAUUCUCGUUAUUUUUUCCCAGCUUUAUUGAGCUGUUACUGAUAUGUAUGUAAAUUCAAGGUAGGCAAUGUGAUGUGAUAGGUGUGUAUACGGUGAAAUGAUCACGAUAAGGUUAGUUAACACCCCCAUCCCCUCAAACAUUUUUAAUGGUGAAAACACUUAAGAUCGACUCUCUUAAUACAGCACGGAGUAUAUAAUAGAGUAUUGUUACCUGUAGUCACCGUACAGUACACUAGGUCCCCAGAACUUGAGUUCAUCUUAUAGCUGGAAGUUUGUACCCUUUGACCAACAUCUCCCCAGCCCCUGACAACCUCCAUGUCUAUCUGUGAGUUCUGCUUUUUUAGAUUCCACAUAUAAUUGAGAAUAUACAGUAUUCCAAACCGUGAACACGACAUACCUUUCUAUUUAUUUAUGUCUUCUUAAAUUUAUGCCAUCAGUGUUUUAUGGUUCUCCGUGUACAGUUCUUUUACCUACUUGGUUAAGUUUAUUAAGUAUUUUAUUAUCUUUGAUGCUCUUGUAAACGGGAUUUUUAAAAAUUUCUUUUUCAGAGAGUUUGUUGUUAGCAUAUAGAAAUGCUACUGAUUUCUGGGUGUGUUGAUUUUGCAUCCUGCGUCUUUACUGAAAUUGUUUAUUAGAUCUAAUUGUUUCUCAGUGGAGACUUUGGGAUUCUCUAAGAUCAUAUCAUCAGUAAACAAUUAUAUAUUUCUUCCUUGCUUUUUAAGGCCACACAUGCAGCAUAUGGAAGUUGAGCAGGAGCUGCAGCUGCUGGCCUGCACCACAGCUCACAGCAACACUGGAUCUUUAACCCACUGAGCGAGGCCAGGGAUCAAACGCGCAUCCUCAUGGAUACUAGUUGGGUUUGUUACCACUGAGCCACAAUGGGAACUCCUACUUCUUCUUAUCCAACUUAGAUGCCUGUUAUUUUUCUCUGGCCUAAUUGUUCUGGCUGGAGCUUCCAGUGCUGUGUUACAUAGGAGUUUUGAGAGUGGGUAUCCUUGUCUUAUUCCUGAUCUUAGUGGGGAAGUUUUCAACUUUUCGUGGUUGAGUGCAAUGUUAGCUGUGGAUUUGUCCCAGAGGUCUGUUGUCUUCUGUGCUUACAGACAUGCAAGCGUGCCUUCUCUCUCUCUCUCUCUCUCUCUCUCUCUCUCUCUCUCUCACACACACACACACACACACACACACAGAAUAAAGCCACAGACCUUUCACAGUUUCCAGUGUAACACAGGGAUGGUGCGAGAAGGUGUGGAUGGUGUGUAACUUGCCCAGUGGUGCUCAGCCAAGCAGAACUGGCAGCAGUCAGGAGAAUGCUGGCCUCUAGGGCCAUCCACUCCCCAGGUGACUCCUCUGAGCUUCUCAAAUUUCGGUGCACUUGCAGAUCAUCUGGCAGAGGCUGGGGUCAGAGGUAGGGAGGCCAACCACCAUACUUUGAGUAGCUAGACCCCAUCUCAAUCUCUGUGAUGCUCACAAAGGCUGUAUGCCUUUCAGAAAUGUUUCGACACUAGGGAAAGGGUUGAAAAUACUAUAUGAAUAAUUUGCCUUUUAGCUGUCCGUAAGUAAUUAUAGUUCCCUAACCGACCACUGUGUUUACAAGUACUCCAGGGGGAGGAGGCAGACAGUGUGUGAACUGUCCAUAGGGCAGGGUUGCACCUUUUUUUCUAUGGAACUUGAAUCUGAAAGGAUCUGUCACUCAGCCGGUUGAGUUUCUAAUUAUGUCUCACCUUAAUCAGGCCUCAGGGAGUGGGCAGUUUAGAAGACUGUCCAUGUUAUCAAAUGAGCAAGUCAGCCUCAUUCAGGAAGUCUAAUUGCCAAAUGUCAAAUAGAAGCUUUAUAGUUAGUCUUAUUUUGUCUUCCCGGGCUACUAGGGAAGUGGUGGACCCUUAUUUUAUGGAUGCAGAAAUGCUCAGAAAGGCUAAUGACAUGCCCAGACUGAUUUUGAUAGGAACUGACAGAAGUAGAAUUUGACCCCAAAUCUAUAUAAUGCCAAAUACUUGCCACUCUGCUGCCCCCCACCUCCACCCCCAGAUUGUGGCAAUUAGCCCUCUUUUCAAAAGGAGUUGGAGAGAAAUCCUUGAAAAGAGAGCCUAAAUUUUAUUUAGAAUUGUAAAGUUCAGAGACCAAUCUUCAGCACUAGUAUUAUUUUACUGGAUCCUGGUUUCCAGCUAAGCUCAUUGAAGAUUGAUGAACUCUACCCUGUCACCUGGAGCUUUGCUAUUCCACAAAGUCUUUGUUGGAGUAGUUCUGCAGUGGUGGGGGCGCUUACGGGGGCAUAUCUUACCCCCCAUCCCUGCUCCCUCAGCCUGAAUAAUGGCAGCCACUACC